GAGGUUGUGAGCACAGUGGAGACAGACAGACAGUAGGUGACAAAAAAUUUAUGAUGCAGCAGAGCUCCAGGCACAAAGGUCCCUGACAGGGGUCCCGAACGAUCCCGAGCCGGACGCUUGGAGAACAGACAGAGCCGGAUCGUCUGAAACGACGGCGUCUCCCGAACACGAGCAGGCCUGGAGGAUGAUUAAUGAGCAGGUGAAGGCUCUCCUCGGCCGGGCCCCAGCGCAGAUCGAGGGGCCAAGCGUGCCGGAAAACAAAAAAGCUUUCCGCAUUCUCUGCGAUCCUCGACACGUUCAGACAGCUCUUCUAGUUGGAAAGGAGCGUUUCCAUGGUAACCACACAAAGACGGCGCUCCCGAGGACCGAGCCGAGCGCUUCCCUUUCUCUCACUCCCUAGGUAGGACACUUCUGCUUGAAGGUGACGUCCCUCCCAACAAACUGACCAG
Long non-coding RNA from Puntigrus tetrazona (Sumatra barb), 449 nucleotides. RefSeq lists it as uncharacterized. NCBI's taxonomy places the organism in Eukaryota, Metazoa, Chordata, Actinopteri, Cypriniformes, Cyprinidae. The record is from RefSeq and is a predicted model, not a curated record. The transcript is spliced from 3 exons.